This 2908-nucleotide ribosomal RNA is filed under the name Salmonella enterica. RNAcentral describes it as "23S ribosomal RNA". It matches the Rfam family "Bacterial large subunit ribosomal RNA". The record is from RNAcentral. Lineage: Bacteria; Pseudomonadati; Pseudomonadota; Gammaproteobacteria; Enterobacterales; Enterobacteriaceae.
GGUUAAGCGACUAAGCGUACACGGUGGAUGCCCUGGCAGUCAGAGGCGAUGAAGGGCGUGCUAAUCUGCGAUAAGCGCCGGUAAGGUGAUAUGAACCGUUAUAACCGGCGAUACCCGAAUGGGGAAACCCAGUGUGACUCGUCACACUAUCAUUAACUGAAUCCAUAGGUUAAUGAGGCGAACCGGGGGAACUGAAACAUCUAAGUACCCCGAGGAAAAGAAAUCAACCGAGAUUCCCCCAGUAGCGGCGAGCGAACGGGGAGGAGCCCAGAGCCUGAAUCAGCAUGUGUGUUAGUGGAAGCGUCUGGAAAGGCGCGCGAUACAGGGUGACAGCCCCGUACACAAAAGCGCAUGUGCUGUGAGCUCGAUGAGUAGGGCGGGACACGUGGUAUCCUGUCUGAAUAUGGGGGGACCAUCCUCCAAGGCUAAAUACUCCUGACUGACCGAUAGUGAACCAGUACCGUGAGGGAAAGGCGAAAAGAACCCCGGCGAGGGGAGUGAAAAAGAACCUGAAACCGUGUACGUACAAGCAGUGGGAGCACAGGUUUACCUGUGUGACUGCGUACCUUUUGUAUAAUGGGUCAGCGACUUAUAUUCUGUAGCAAGGUUAACCGUAUAGGGGAGCCGGAGGGAAACCGAGUCUUAAUUGGGCGUUAAGUUGCAGGGUAUAGACCCGAAACCCGGUGAUCUAGCCAUGGGCAGGUUGAAGGUUGGGUAACACUAACUGGAGGACCGAACCGACUAAUGUUGAAAAAUUAGCGGAUGACCUGUGGCUGGGGGUGAAAGGCCAAUCAAACCGGGAGAUAGCUGGUUCUCCCCGAAAGCUAUUUAGGUAGCGCCUCGUGAAUUCAUCUCCGGGGGUAGAGCACUGUUUCGGCUAGGGGGCCAUCCCGGCUUACCAACCCGAUGCAAACUGCGAAUACCGGAGAAUGUUAUCACGGGAGACACACGGCGGGUGCUAACGUCCGUCGUGAAGAGGGAAACAACCCAGACCGCCAGCUAAGGUCCCAAAGUCAUGGUUAAGUGGGAAACGAUGUGGGAAGGCCCAGACAGCCAGGAUGUUGGCUUAGAAGCAGCCAUCAUUUAAAGAAAGCGUAAUAGCUCACUGGUCGAGUCGGCCUGCGCGGAAGAUGUAACGGGGCUAAACCAUGCACCGAAGCUGCGGCAGCGACGCUUAUGCGUUGUUGGGUAGGGGAGCGUUCUGUAAGCCUGUGAAGGUGGCCUGUGAGGGUUGCUGGAGGUAUCAGAAGUGCGAAUGCUGACAUAAGUAACGAUAAAGCGGGUGAAAAGCCCGCUCGCCGGAAGACCAAGGGUUCCUGUCCAACGUUAAUCGGGGCAGGGUGAGUCGACCCCUAAGGCGAGGCCGAAAGGCGUAGUCGAUGGGAAACGGGUUAAUAUUCCCGUACUUGGUGUUACUGCGAAGGGGGGACGGAGAAGGCUAUGUUGGCCGGGCGACGGUUGUCCCGGUUUAAGCGUGUAGGUGUGUGUUCCAGGUAAAUCCGGUUCACUUUAACACUGAGGCGUGAUGACGAGGCACUACGGUGCUGAAGCAACAAAUGCCCUGCUUCCAGGAAAAGCCUCUAAGCAUCAGGUAACAUCAAAUCGUACCCCAAACCGACACAGGUGGUCAGGUAGAGAAUACCAAGGCGCUUGAGAGAACUCGGGUGAAGGAACUAGGCAAAAUGGUGCCGUAACUUCGGGAGAAGGCACGCUGACACGUAGGUGAAGUGAUUUACUCAUGGAGCUGAAGUCAGUCGAAGAUACCAGCUGGCUGCAACUGUUUAUUAAAAACACAGCACUGUGCAAACACGAAAGUGGACGUAUACGGUGUGACGCCUGCCCGGUGCCGGAAGGUUAAUUGAUGGGGUCAGCGCAAGCGAAGCUCCUGAUCGAAGCCCCGGUAAACGGCGGCCGUAACUAUAACGGUCCUAAGGUAGCGAAAUUCCUUGUCGGGUAAGUUCCGACCUGCACGAAUGGCGUAAUGAUGGCCAGGCUGUCUCCACCCGAGACUCAGUGAAAUUGAACUCGCUGUGAAGAUGCAGUGUACCCGCGGCAAGACGGAAAGACCCCGUGAACCUUUACUAUAGCUUGACACUGAACAUUGAGCCUUGAUGUGUAGGAUAGGUGGGAGGCUUUGAAGCGUGGACGCCAGUCUGCGUGGAGCCGACCUUGAAAUACCACCCUUUAAUGUUUGAUGUUCUAACGUGGACCCGUAAUCCGGGUUGCGGACAGUGUCUGGUGGGUAGUUUGACUGGGGCGGUCUCCUCCUAAAGAGUAACGGAGGAGCACGAAGGUUGGCUAAUCCUGGUCGGACAUCAGGAGGUUAGUGCAAUGGCAUAAGCCAGCUUGACUGCGAGCGUGACGGCGCGAGCAGGUGCGAAAGCAGGUCAUAGUGAUCCGGUGGUUCUGAAUGGAAGGGCCAUCGCUCAACGGAUAAAAGGUACUCCGGGGAUAACAGGCUGAUACCGCCCAAGAGUUCAUAUCGACGGCGGUGUUUGGCACCUCGAUGUCGGCUCAUCACAUCCUGGGGCUGAAGUAGGUCCCAAGGGUAUGGCUGUUCGCCAUUUAAAGUGGUACGCGAGCUGGGUUUAGAACGUCGUGAGACAGUUCGGUCCCUAUCUGCCGUGGGCGCUGGAGAACUGAGGGGGGCUGCUCCUAGUACGAGAGGACCGGAGUGGACGCAUCACUGGUGUUCGGGUUGUCAUGCCAAUGGCACUGCCCGGUAGCUAAAUGCGGAAGAGAUAAGUGCUGAAAGCAUCUAAGCACGAAACUUGCCCCGAGAUGAGUUCUCCCUGAGACUUAGAGUCUCCUGAAGGAACGUUGAAGACGACGACGUUGAUAGGCCGGGUGUGUAAGCGCAGCGAUGCGUUGAGCUAACCGGUACUAAUGAACCGUGAGGCUUAACCUU